CGGACGGGUGAGUAAUGUCUGGGAAACUGCCUGAUGGAGGGGGAUAACUACUGGAAACGGUAGCUAAUACCGCAUAACGUCGCAAGACCAAAGUGGGGGACCUUCGGGCCUCAUGCCAUCAGAUGUGCCCAGAUGGGAUUAGCUAGUAGGUGGGGUAACGGCUCACCUAGGCGACGAUCCCUAGCUGGUCUGAGAGGAUGACCAGCCACACUGGAACUGAGACACGGUCCAGACUCCUACGGGAGGCAGCAGUGGGGAAUAUUGCACAAUGGGCGCAAGCCUGAUGCAGCCAUGCCGCGUGUGUGAAGAAGGCCUUCGGGUUGUAAAGCACUUUCAGCGGGGAGGAAGGCG
This 351-nucleotide ribosomal RNA is filed under the name Klebsiella pneumoniae. RNAcentral describes it as "bacterial SSU rRNA". It matches the Rfam family "Bacterial small subunit ribosomal RNA", at positions 99 to 453 of the family's 1533-position model. The record is from RNAcentral. Lineage: Bacteria; Pseudomonadati; Pseudomonadota; Gammaproteobacteria; Enterobacterales; Enterobacteriaceae.